This is a long non-coding RNA of Acyrthosiphon pisum (pea aphid), 1630 nucleotides long. RefSeq lists it as uncharacterized. The transcript is spliced from 4 exons. The record is from RefSeq and is a predicted model, not a curated record. Lineage: Eukaryota; Metazoa; Arthropoda; Insecta; Hemiptera; Aphididae.
AGUCGUCGCUAGUGUACACGGUAGGUCGUAGUGCGUCAUACCGUGUCACUGUGAUCUAAGGUGUGGGUCGACUGGUGCGGGUAGUUUUUCCCGAGAAUUUUCCGAGAGUUUUCCCGGCCGGCCAGUCAGCCCCCGUGAAAACCUUCUGUAAAAACUCGCAUUGUAAUCACGGAGGACGACCUUAACGCGGUCCGCGACGUUAUUGAUCGUCUCCGAACGGCGACGGACGUCGAACGAACGUUUGGAUUGCUGCCGACUGGGCCGCGACUCUGCGAGGCACCUACCCUAAUAGAAGUUCAUGUCAGCUAGUCUGUGUCCGUCCGUCCGUCAACGGUUGCUGCUUACCGAUGCGCAGUUACGAUUGUUGAAACCGGGAAUUCAUCACGCUCGCGGAGUGAGCUUUCAGGACUUGUUGUAUCGACGAGCCCGCCGAUGGAAUCUGGAUUCGGGAACAAACGCUCACGCGAAUGACAAUGCAAAUAGAACGAGACUAGGACGACUCAAGGAGGAGCCAGAAUUAAGUUUGUGAUUAGAAAAUAUGAAUCAUAUGCUGUUUUCAUUGUAACAACUAACAAGAUUCAUGUUCAUAGUUGCAGCUCGACAGAAUAUUGCAUAAUUAAAAUGAAUGUGUUAACAAUACCUUAACAGUUCUAAGAAAUAGGUAGUUCAUUGUUAGUAAUAUUACAGCUAAUGUAAGCAGUGGCGCAACCAGGAUUCAUUUUUCGGGGGGGGGGGGGGGGGGGGGUUGUAGAUAGUAGAUUUGGAAAAAAGAAAUUAUUUUUAAAGAUAUUUGUUGAGGAAAGGGGGUAAGAUUAAGUUAGGUUUAUGAGUAAAAUAUUUAAACUACAAAUUAGACGGUUUAACUUAUAUUUAUAAAUAAUGCACGUUGGGAAAUAAUUUAGGCUCAUUGAAUAUUUAAAUAAUAUACUUUAUUCAUAGUUCAUAAAUUAGAGUCUAAUAAUAUAAUAGUUUACAGUUUAAGAUUAAUUCGUCGUGUAGAGUGCUUUGCCAUUUCAUCUAGUACCAAAUCUGGUUUAACUUCGAUAUUAAGUUUUAAUUAAUAAUAAUUAUUAUUACAAUUUAAAACUUUUAACUUAAUACGUUACAAAAUUCAAAAUUCUAAUUUAUAUUGAAACAUUAAUCUUUUCAUGCACACAUAUUGUGAUACCACGAGUGAUACCACAAAAAAAGUUUUAUCAGUAUUCAGUAUUAUACAAUCGAAUCGAAUAUCGAGAACCGUAGUUGCAAGGAAAUUCAUGUUAUAUCAUUGUUAUCUAUAAUAAUACAAACAAAUCACGGUUGUAGCAUAGAAUAUUAAAAUAUCAAAUAUCAAUCAGCUGUUUCGCGUGUGCAAGAUCAACAAUUUUUUUUCUACGAUUAUAAAAACAUCAAAAAAAUUUCGGGGGGGGGGGGGUCACAACCCCCAAACCCCCCCCUUAGUUGCGCCACUGAAUGUAAGCAUUAUGUGUUGAAUUAGUAGCAAUCAAAAUUAUUAUAAAAUAAUAACCAGAAACAUGUUUAAAUCAAAUUUUGGAUAAUAGUGUAAUAAAUUAAAUUCAUGCAACCAUAUGAAGAUAUUGUUGGGAUUUAUCUGAAAACCUUAUGAAUUUGUAAAUUUCAACAAUAUUUA